This 292-nucleotide ribosomal RNA is filed under the name uncultured bacterium. Its description in RNAcentral is "partial 16S ribosomal RNA". The record is from RNAcentral.
GGACUACCGGGGUAUCUAAUCCCGUUUGCUCCCCUGGCUUUCGCACCUCAGCGUCAGAAACCAGCCAGUGCAUCGCUUUCGCCGCCGGAGUUCCUUCCGAUAUCAACGCAUUUCACCGCUCCACCGGAAAUUCCAUGCACCCCUCUGGUCCUCAAGCAAAGCAGUAUCGGCCGCAGUUCCUCGGUUAGGCCGAGGGAUUUCACAACCGACUUACUCCGCCGCCUACGUGCGCUUUAUGCCCAGUGAUUCCGAACAACGCUCGCCACCUUCGUCUUACCGCGGCGGCUGGCAC